UGAAAUAGCUCAGUUGGUAGAGAAUGAGAUUCUCGAUCUCAGGGUCAUGGGUUUGAACCCCACACUGGGCAAAA
This is a non-coding RNA of Podarcis lilfordi (Lilford's wall lizard), 74 nucleotides long. The record is from the annotation of a GenBank genome assembly. NCBI's taxonomy places the organism in Eukaryota, Metazoa, Chordata, Lepidosauria, Squamata, Lacertidae.